This 253-nucleotide ribosomal RNA is filed under the name uncultured bacterium. Its description in RNAcentral is "partial 16S ribosomal RNA". It matches the Rfam family "Bacterial small subunit ribosomal RNA", at positions 524 to 776 of the family's 1533-position model. The record is from RNAcentral.
UACGUAGGGUGCGAGCGUUGUCCGGAAUCACUGGGCGUAAAGGGUGCGUAGGCGGGUCUUUAAGUCAAGGGUGAAAUCCUGGAGCUCAACUCCAGAACUGCCUUUGAUACUGAGGAUCUUGAGUUCGGGAGAGGUGAGUGGAACUGCGAGUGUAGAGGUGAAAUUCGUAGAUAUUCGCAAGAACACCAGUGGCGAAGGCGGCUCACUGGCCCGAUACUGACGCUGAGGCACGAAAGCGUGGGGAGCAAACAGG